Molecule: transfer RNA, 72 nt
Filed under: Planctomycetaceae bacterium
Lineage: Bacteria; Pseudomonadati; Planctomycetota; Planctomycetia; Planctomycetales; Planctomycetaceae
Also listed under: 2 other names
Description: tRNA-Trp
Rfam family: tRNA
About the family: Transfer RNA (tRNA) molecules are approximately 80 nucleotides in length. Their secondary structure includes four short double-helical elements and three loops (D, anti-codon, and T loops).
Source: RNAcentral
ACGGGCGUAGCUCAAUGGCAGAGCAUCGGAUUCCAAAUCCGACGGUUGGGGGUUCGAGUCCCUCCGCCCGUG